CCAGAAGCAGCUGCAUCUCAGCAGGGGCCCUUCCAUCAACGUGACAACCUGCUGAGGGCUUUGGAUCACCUCCAGAUGUGAGGCAUGUUGAGGCUAUAAAACAAAAUCAUUAGCAUUAUCUCCAUUCUUGGCCCGAGAGUCUCAGCUGAGAAUGUUUCUUGUACAGAUUUAGAGCUUUAAUUAUUCUCAUUUUUCUUCCUGGGUAGCUUCCUUUAGACAGCAUGGGAUCUUCUCUCGGAGUUGGUUUUCCUAAAAAGAAAGAAAAAGAAGAGCCCACACUGAAUAACAUCUUUUGGUGCUGUGAAAGCCAGCCAACAUGGUGAAAACUUCUUGAGAAGUACCAACUUGAUCACUUUAAAUCCCAUGAAGAAAGUAUGUAGUGUCUUCAGCAAUAAGCUCUUACCAUCAGACUGUGGUGGACAACUAUCUGUGGGACCCCUCUGACCAACAAAUUAAAGGGAGAAGUCACUUACAUGAGAAACCUAUGACCCACAAUUUCCAGCUCCAAGGAUCCACAUCCAGAUGUUCCAUGACCCAACUGGAACCAAGAGAGAGCAAGCCUGUUCCAGACCCCAGACCAAAUCCCACAAGCUCAUGUAUGCACCUGUGACCAUGCCCAUUUGUAUGUUCAUGGUUGAUGAACCACCUAUCUGAGACCUCCGGAGAUGCUUCUUGUCAACGUGCUUUGUGAUUUGGCUCAGAAUCACAUUUUGGUGGCGGAUGUGGUAUUAUGAAUGUUCUAGAGGGGAGAGUGCUGUGCCAGGAAGCCAAGCCAAUUGAAAGUGAAGUGAAAAUUCAGAAUUAUGGAGAUUUAAUUUCCUGCUGAAUAAUUCUCCACAAGCUGUGUAAACUUCUCUUCCCUGAACAAAUACUCAGAAUAAAAUACCUUAGAUGCUCUUUUCCUUUUUAAUAAGAAAGUGUUCGAAUUAUUUGGAUGUAGAGUCAAGGGUAACAGAAGCCUGGUGUGCCCCAGCCCAAUUUGUGUAAGUCACCAAGAAUCCUGCAGUGCCCUUGGCUCACAGAGUUUGGAAGACUGGGUGUGAAGAAUUAUUUCCAGAGGUUGUUUGCCACAAAAAGCAUUAUUGAUUAUCUGUGGGAUAGUUCCUUGUAGCCUA
RNAcentral lists this long non-coding RNA (1115 nucleotides) under Cricetulus griseus (Chinese hamster). RNAcentral's name for it is "lncRNA (ENSCGRG00015032047.1)". Lineage: Eukaryota; Metazoa; Chordata; Mammalia; Rodentia; Cricetidae. The record is from RNAcentral.